UACGUAGGGACCAAGCGUUGUUCGGAUUUACUGGGCGUAAAGCGCGUGUAGGCUGUUCGGAAAGUCGGGUGUGAAAGCCCUGGGCUCAACCUAGGAAGUGCACUCGAAACUCCCGAACUGGAGUCCCGGAGAGGAAGGCGGAAUUCUCGGUGUAGAGGUGAAAUUCGUAGAUAUCGAGAGGAACAUCGGUGGCGAAGGCGGCCUUCUGGACGGUGACUGACGCUGAGACGCGAAAGCGUGGGGAGCAAACAGG
RNAcentral lists this ribosomal RNA (253 nucleotides) under uncultured bacterium. Its description in RNAcentral is "partial 16S ribosomal RNA". It matches the Rfam family "Bacterial small subunit ribosomal RNA", at positions 524 to 776 of the family's 1533-position model. The record is from RNAcentral.